This 450-nucleotide ribosomal RNA is filed under the name uncultured bacterium. RNAcentral's name for it is "partial 16S ribosomal RNA". It matches the Rfam family "Bacterial small subunit ribosomal RNA", at positions 338 to 795 of the family's 1533-position model. The record is from RNAcentral.
CCUACGGUGGGCUGCAGUGGGGAAUAUUGGACAAUGGGGGCAACCCUGAUCCAGCGACGCCGCGUGUGUGAAGAAGGCCUGCGGGUUGUAAAGCACUUUUAGUGGGGAUGAAAAGCUCAGGGCCAAUACCCCUGGGUCUUGACCUAACUCACAGAAAAAGCACCGGCUAACUCUGUGCCCGCAGCAGCGGUAAUACAGAGGGUGCAAGCGUUAAUCGGAAUUACUGGGCGCGGUUGUUUAGUAGACAGGUGAAAUCCCCGGGCGCAACCUGGGAAUUGCAUUCGAUACUGGGCAGCUAGGGCGCGGAAGAGGGAAGCGGAAUUUCCGGUGUAGCGGUGAAAUGCGUAGAUAUCGGAAGGAACAUCAGUGGCGAAAGCGGCUUCCUGGUCCAGCACCGACGUUCAGGCACGAAAGCGUGGGGAGCAAACAGGAUUAGAUACCCUAGUAGUC